CAAUAACAGGUCUGUGAUGCCCUUAGAUGUUCUGGGCUGCACGCGCGCUACACUGAUGCAUGCAACGAGUUCUUGACCUUGGCCGGAAGGUCUAGGUAAUCUUUUGAGUGUGCAUCGUGAUGGGGAUAGAUUAUUGCAAUUAUUAAUCUUCAACGAGGAAUGCCUAGUAGGCGUAAGUCAGCAGCUUGCGCCGAUUACGUCCCUGCCCUUUGUACACACCACCCGUCGCUGCGACCGAUCGGAGGGUCCUGUGAACUCAAUGGGCUGACCAACUCCCUUCGGGGGUUGGUCGGGAAGUUGCGUAAAUAGAGCCCUCUAAAGGAUGCAAAAGCCGUAACACGGUUUCCGUAGGUGAACCUGCGGAAGGAUCA
RNAcentral lists this ribosomal RNA (371 nucleotides) under Cyclospora sp. strain Guangzhou 01. RNAcentral describes it as "SSU rRNA". It matches the Rfam family "Eukaryotic small subunit ribosomal RNA", at positions 1451 to 1828 of the family's 1831-position model. The record is from RNAcentral. Lineage: Eukaryota; Apicomplexa; Conoidasida; Eucoccidiorida; Eimeriidae.